UGGAGAGAUUUUUAUCUGUCGAGU
This 24-nucleotide unclassified non-coding RNA is filed under the name Mus musculus (house mouse). RNAcentral's name for it is "oocyte_clustered_small_RNA5398". The record is from RNAcentral. Lineage: Eukaryota; Metazoa; Chordata; Mammalia; Rodentia; Muridae.